GAUGAACGCUGGCGGCGUGCCUAAUACAUGCAAGUCGAGCGAACAGACGAGGAGCUUGCUCCUCUGACGUUAGCGGCGGACGGGUGAGUAACACGUGGAUAACCUACCUAUAAGACUGGGAUAACUUCGGGAAACCGGAGCUAAUACCGGAUAAUAUAUUGAACCGCAUGGUUCAAUAGUGAAAGACGGUUUUGCUGUCACUUAUAGAUGGAUCCGCGCCGCAUUAGCUAGUUGGUAAGGUAACGGCUUACCAAGGCAACGAUGCGUAGCCGACCUGAGAGGGUGAUAGCCCACACUGGAACUGAGACACGGUCCAGACUCCUACGGGAGGCAGCAGUAGGGAAUCUUCCGCAAUGGGCGAAAGCCUGACGGAGCAACGCCGCGUGAGUGAUGAAGGUCUUCGGAUCGUAAAACUCUGUUAUUAGGGAAGAACAAAUGUGUAAGUAACUAUGCACGUCUUGACGGUACCUAAUCAGAAAGCCACGGCUAACUACGUG
Molecule: ribosomal RNA, 497 nt
Filed under: uncultured bacterium
Lineage: Bacteria
Description: partial 16S ribosomal RNA
Rfam family: Bacterial small subunit ribosomal RNA
Source: RNAcentral